RNAcentral lists this ribosomal RNA (234 nucleotides) under uncultured bacterium. Its description in RNAcentral is "partial 16S ribosomal RNA". It matches the Rfam family "Bacterial small subunit ribosomal RNA", at positions 91 to 339 of the family's 1533-position model. The record is from RNAcentral.
AUUAGUGGCAAACGGGUGAGGAAUAUAGAGGAAUCUACCCAGCAGUAAGGAAUAACUUUGGGAAACCAAAGCUAAUGCCAUAUAUCACCGAUUUAUCGGGAAAGAUUUAUCGCUGUUGGAUGAGCCUCUAUCGGAUUAGCUAGUUGGUGGGGUAAAGGCCUACCAAGGCGAUGAUCCGUAGCUGGUCUUAGAGGAUGAUCAGCCACACUGGAACUUAGACACGGUCCAGACUCC